CCAUCAUUUAAAGAAAGCGUAAUAGCUCACUGGUCGAGUCGGCCUGCGCGGAAGAUGUAACGGGGCUAAACCAUGCACCGAAGCUGCGGCAGCGACGCUUAUGCGUUGUUGGGUAGGGGAGCGUUCUGUAAGCCUGUGAAGGUGUGCUGUGAGGUAUGCUGGAGGUAUCAGAAGUGCGAAUGCUGACAUAAGUAACGAUAAAGCGGGUGAAAAGCCCGCUCGCCGGAAGACCAAGGGUUCCUGUCCAACGUUAAUCGGGGCAGGGUGAGUCGACCCCUAAGGCGAGGCCGAAAGGCGUAGUCGAUGGGAAACAGGUUAAUAUUCCUGUACUUGGUGUUACUGCGAAGGGGGGACGGAGAAGGCUAUGUUGGCCGGGCGACGGUUGUCCCGGUUUAAGCGUGUAGGCUGGUUUUCCAGGCAAAUCCGGAAAAUCAAGGCCGAGGCGUGAUGACGAGGCACUACGGUGCUGAAGCAACAAAUGCCCUGCUUCCAGGAAAAGCCUCUAAGCAUCAGGUAACAUCAAAUCGUACCCCAAACCGACACAGGUGGUCAGGUAGAGAAUACCAAGGCGCUUGAGAGAACUCGGGUGAAGGAACUAGGCAAAAUGGUGCCGUAACUUCGGGAGAAGGCACGCUGAUACGUAGGUGAAGCGACUUGCUCGUGGAGCUGAAAUCAGUCGAAGAUACCAGCUGGCUGCAACUGUUUAUUAAAAACACAGCACUGUGCAAACACGAAAGUGGACGUAUACGGUGUGACGCCUGCCCGGUGCCGGAAGGUUAAUUGAUGGGGUUAGCGCAAGCGAAGCUCUUGAUCGAAGCCCCGGUAAACGGCGGCCGUAACUAUAACGGUCCUAAGGUAGCGAAAUUCCUUGUCGGGUAAGUUCCGACCUGCACGAAUGGCGUAAUGAUGGCCAGGCUGUCUCCACCCGAGACUCAGUGAAAUUGAACUCGCUGUGAAGAUGCAGUGUACCCGCGGCAAGACGGAAAGACCCCGUGAACCUUUACUAUAGCUUGACACUGAACAUUGAGCCUUGAUGUGUAGGAUAGGUGGGAGGCUUUGAAGUGUGGACGCCAGUCUGCAUGGAGCCGACCUUGAAAUACCACCCUUUAAUGUUUGAUGUUCUAACGUGGACCCGUGAUCCGGGUUGCGGACAGUGUCUGGUGGGUAGUUUGACUGGGGCGGUCUCCUCCUAAAGAGUAACGGAGGAGCACGAAGGUUGGCUAAUCCUGGUCGGACAUCAGGAGGUUAGUGCAAUGGCAUAAGCCAGCUUGACUGCGAGCGUGACGGCGCGAGCAGGUGCGAAAGCAGGUCAUAGUGAUCCGGUGGUUCUGAAUGGAAGGGCCAUCGCUCAACGGAUAAAAGGUACUCCGGGGAUAACAGGCUGAUACCGCCCAAGAGUUCAUAUCGACGGCGGUGUUUGGCACCUCGAUGUCGGCUCAUCACAUCCUGGGGCUGAAGUAGGUCCCAAGGGUAUGGCUGUUCGCCAUUUAAAGUGGUACGCGAGCUGGGUUUAGAACGUCGUGAGACAGUUCGGUCCCUAUCUGCCGUGGGCGCUGGAGAACUGAGGGGGGCUGCUCCUAGUACGAGAGGACCGGAGUGGACGCAUCACUGGUGUUCGGGUUGUCAUGCCAAUGGCACUG
RNAcentral lists this ribosomal RNA (1640 nucleotides) under Shigella flexneri. RNAcentral describes it as "partial 23S ribosomal RNA". It matches the Rfam family "Bacterial large subunit ribosomal RNA", at positions 1116 to 2740 of the family's 2925-position model. Lineage: Bacteria; Pseudomonadati; Pseudomonadota; Gammaproteobacteria; Enterobacterales; Enterobacteriaceae. The record is from RNAcentral.